This 253-nucleotide ribosomal RNA is filed under the name uncultured bacterium. RNAcentral describes it as "partial 16S ribosomal RNA". It matches the Rfam family "Bacterial small subunit ribosomal RNA", at positions 524 to 776 of the family's 1533-position model. The record is from RNAcentral.
UACGGGGGGGGCAAGCGUUGUUCGGAAUUACUGGGCGUAAAGGGCUCGUAGGCGGCCAACUAAGUCAGACGUGAAAUCCCUCGGCUUAACCGGGGAACUGCAUCUGAUACUGGAUGGCUUGAGUUCGGGAGAGGGAUGCGGAAUUCCAGGUGUAGCGGUGGAAUGCGCAGAUAUCAGGAAGAACACCAACGGCGAAGGCAGCUCGCUGGGACGGAACUGACGCUAAGGCGCGAAAGCGUGGGGAGCGAACAGG